AGUGCUAGGGGUGCCAUAGGCUGAGAAAUGAAUUUUCAUUAACCCUUUACCUGACCUAGAUAAUGCUAGCGUAGGGAAGCGAUUAAU
RNAcentral lists this non-coding RNA (87 nucleotides) under uncultured Clostridium sp. RNAcentral's name for it is "TPP riboswitch (THI element)". It matches the Rfam family "TPP riboswitch aptamer (THI element)", at positions 7 to 92 of the family's 105-position model. From Rfam's summary of the family: Vitamin B(1) in its active form thiamin pyrophosphate (TPP) is an essential coenzyme that is synthesised by coupling of pyrimidine and thiazole moieties in bacteria. The previously detected thiamin-regulatory element, thi box was extended, resulting in a new, highly conserved RNA secondary structure, the THI element, which is widely distributed in eubacteria and also occurs in some archaea. The record is from RNAcentral. Lineage: Bacteria; Bacillati; Bacillota; Clostridia; Eubacteriales; Clostridiaceae.